Molecule: ribosomal RNA, 807 nt
Filed under: Streptomyces sp.
Lineage: Bacteria; Bacillati; Actinomycetota; Actinomycetes; Kitasatosporales; Streptomycetaceae
Description: bacterial SSU rRNA
Rfam family: Bacterial small subunit ribosomal RNA
Source: RNAcentral
GCUUACCAUGCAGUCGAACGAUGAAGCCGCUUCGGUGGUGGAUUAGUGGCGAACGGGUGAGUAACACGUGGGCAAUCUGCCCUGCACUCUGGGACAAGCCCUGGAAACGGGGUCUAAUACCGGAUAUGACACACGGGGGCAUCUUCUGUGUGUGGAAAGCUCCGGCGGUGCAGGAUGAGCCCGCGGCCUAUCAGCUUGUUGGUGGGGUGAUGGCCUACCAAGGCGACGACGGGUAGCCGGCCUGAGAGGGCGACCGGCCACACUGGGACUGAGACACGGCCCAGACUCCUACGGGAGGCAGCAGUGGGGAAUAUUGCACAAUGGGCGCAAGCCUGAUGCAGCGACGCCGCGUGAGGGAUGACGGCCUUCGGGUUGUAAACCUCUUUCAGCAGGGAAGAAGCCUUCGCGGGAGACGGCCCGUGCAAAAAACACCCCGUAUAUCUACGUGCCCACCCCCGCGGAUAUACAUGGGGCGAGAGCGUUGCCCAGAUUUAGUGGGCGUAAAGAUCUCAUACGCGGUGUGUCGCCUCAUAUGAGAAACCCCGGCUUAUAACCGUGGCUCUGUUUUCUAUACGGGCGCGAUAGAUCUCUAUGGGAGAUAUCAAAACCUGUGGUGUCGCGGAGAUGUGCACAUAUCUCGAGAAGCACAGCGGUGGAGAGCGCAUAUCUGGGGCCUACAGUGACUCUGAAGAGCGAACGCGUGGAGAGAGAACGAGAAUAUAUACUGUGGGACUACACGGCAUACACGGUGAAAUCUGUGUGUGUCUCAUUCCCGCGUUGUGUGCCCGCAUCUCACAUUUAUUUCCG